This 582-nucleotide long non-coding RNA is filed under the name Androctonus crassicauda. Lineage: Eukaryota; Metazoa; Arthropoda; Arachnida; Scorpiones; Buthidae. The record is from RNAcentral.
GCCAGGGCAAAUUCUGAUGUCUUGAGAUGAUGUAAUUGGGGGAACAAUUUUUUGAUAACAUCUAUGGAUAUUUUUGUUGUGUGACUUGUUGCCUCAUCUUGUUGAAAUCACAUUUUUCUGUUAAUAUGAAAGUAAGUUGCCAACCAUGAAGUCACAAAUGUGUCUACAUCUGCAUGUAAUGCUCAGCAUUUAAUAAAACAUAAUUCUCAUUGUCAUCUUCAAAAAAGUAAUCACGGUUGGCAACUUACCUUCAUAUUAAUGGAGAAAUGUGGUUCAAACAAGAUGAGGACAGCGGGUCACACAACAGAAAUAUCCAUGGGUGUCGUCGUAAGAUUGUUCCCCAAUUAUGUCAUCUCAAAGCAUCGGAGUUUGCUUUGUCCUGUGAGAUCGUCAGAUUUUUCGCCUUGUGACUCCUCAAAGAAAACAGUCACAAGCCAAAAUAGCACUAUAUUUAAAAAAUAAAGUGUUUGGUGCUCCAGCGCUUGGAGAUGUCUCAUCAUUGGGGCGGGGAAUCCAGCAGGAGAUGGCGCGGAUUUCUCUUCAAGUGCUGUGCGGAAUGGUGGAUAAUUUCUGAUUGAGCUU